Molecule: ribosomal RNA, 161 nt
Filed under: uncultured bacterium
Lineage: Bacteria
Description: partial 16S ribosomal RNA
Rfam family: Bacterial small subunit ribosomal RNA
Source: RNAcentral
GGAAUCUUCCACAAUGGACGAAAGUCUGAUGGAGCAACGCCGCGUGAGUGAAGAAGGGUUUCGGCUCGUAAAACUCUGUUGUUAAAGAAGAACAUAUCUGAGAGUAACUGUUCAGGUAUUGACGGUAUUUAACCAGAAAGCCACGGCUAACUACAUGCCAG